GACGAACGCUGGCGGCGUGCUUAACACAUGCAAGUCGAACGGAAAGGCCCUGCUUUUGUGGGGUGCUCGAGUGGCGAACGGGUGAGUAACACGUGAGUAACCUGCCCUUGACUUUGGGAUAACUUCAGGAAACUGGGGCUAAUACCGGAUAGGAGCUCCUGCUGCAUGGUGGGGGUUGGAAAGUUUCGGCGGUUGGGGAUGGACUCGCGGCUUAUCAGCUUGUUGGUGGGGUAGUGGCUUACCAAGGCUUUGACGGGUAGCCGGCCUGAGAGGGUGACCGGCCACAUUGGGACUGAGAUACGGCCCAGACUCCUACGGGAGGCAGCAGUGGGGAAUAUUGCACAAUGGGCGGAAGCCUGAUGCAGCAACGCCGCGUGCGGGAUGACGGCCUUCGGGUUGUAAACCGCUUUCGCCUGUGACGAAGCGUGAGUGACGGUAAUGGGUAAAGAAGCACCGGCUAACUACGUGCCAGCAGCCGCGGUGAUACGUAGGGUGCGAGCGUUGUCCGGAUUUAUUGGGCGUAAAGGGCUCGUAGGUGGUUGAUCGCGUCGGAAGUGUAAUCUUGGGGCUUAACCCUGAGCGUGCUUUCGAUACGGGUUGACUUGAGGAAGGUAGGGGAGAAUGGAAUUCCUGGUGGAGCGGUGGAAUGCGCAGAUAUCAGGAGGAACACCAGUGGCGAAGGCGGUUCUCUGGGCCUUUCCAGACGCUGAGGAGCGAAAGCGUGGGGAGCGAACAGGCUUAGAUACCCUGGUAGUCCACGCUGUAAACGGUGGGUACUAGGUGUGGGGUCCAUUCCACGGGUUCCGUGCCGUAGCUAACGCUUUAAGUACCCCGCCUGGGGAGUACGGCCGCAAGGCUAAAACUCAAAGGAAUUGACGGGGCCCCGCACAAGCGGCGGAGCAUGCGGAUUAAUUCGAUGCAACGCGUAGAACCUUACCUGGGUUUGACAUGGAUCGGGAGUGCUCAGAGAUGGGUGUGCCUCUUUUGGGGUCGGUUCACAGGUGGUGCAUGGCUGUCGUCAGCUCGUGUCGUGAGAUGUUGGGUUAAGUCCCGCAACGAGCGCAACCCUUGUUCACUGUUGCCAGCACGUUAUGGUGGGGACUCAGUGGAGACCGCCGGGGUCAACUCGGAGGAAGGUGGGGAUGACGUCAAGUCAUCAUGCCCCUUAUGUCCAGGGCUUCACGCAUGCUACAAUGGCUGGUACAGAGAGUGGCGAGCCUGUGAGGGUGAGCGAAUCUCGGAAAGCCGGUCUCAGUUCGGAUUGGGGUCUGCAACUCGACCUCAUGAAGUCGGAGUCGCUAGUAAUCGCAGAUCAGCAACGCUGCGGUGAAUACGUUCCCGGG
RNAcentral lists this ribosomal RNA (1343 nucleotides) under uncultured bacterium. RNAcentral describes it as "16S ribosomal RNA". It matches the Rfam family "Bacterial small subunit ribosomal RNA", at positions 28 to 1378 of the family's 1533-position model. The record is from RNAcentral.